GCACCUACGGGAGGCAGCAGUGGGGAAUAUUGCACAAUGGGGGAAACCCUGAUGCAGCGACGCCGCGUGAAGGAAGAAGUAUUUCGGUAUGUAAACUUCUAUCAGCAGGGAAGAAAAUGACGGUACCUGACUAAGAAGCCCCGGCUAACUACGUGCCAGCAGCCGCGGUAAUACGUAGGGGGCAAGCGUUAUCCGGAUUUAUUGGGUUUAAAGGGUGCGCAGGCGGACCAUCAAGUCAGCGGUAAAAUCGUGGGGCCCAACCCCAUCCCGCCGUUGAAACUGGCGGUCUUGAGUGAGCGAGGAGG
Molecule: ribosomal RNA, 305 nt
Filed under: uncultured bacterium
Lineage: Bacteria
Description: bacterial SSU rRNA
Rfam family: Bacterial small subunit ribosomal RNA
Source: RNAcentral